GAUGAACGCUGGCGGCGUGCUUAACACAUGCAAGUCGAACGGAAAGGCUCCUGCUUGCAGGGGUACUCGAGUGGCGAACGGGUGAGUAACACGUGGGUGAUCUGCCCUGCACUUCGGGAUAAGCCUGGGAAACUGGGUCUAAUACCGGAUAGGACGAUGGUUUGGAUGCCAUUGUGGAAAGUUUUUCGGUGUGGGAUGAGCUCGCGGCCUAUCAGCUUGUUGGUGGGGUAAUGGCCUACCAAGGCGUCGACGGGUAGCCGGCCUGGGAGGGUGUACGGCCACAUUGGGACUGAGGUACGGCCCAGACUCCUACGGGAGGCAGCAGUGGGGAAUAUUGCACAAUGGGCGCAAGCCUGAUGCAGCGACGCCGCGUGGGGGAUGACGGCCUUCGGGUUGUAAACUCCUUUCGCUAGGGACGAAGCGUUUUGUGACGGUACCUGGAGAAGAAGCACCGGCUAACUACGUG
This 466-nucleotide ribosomal RNA is filed under the name uncultured bacterium. RNAcentral's name for it is "partial 16S ribosomal RNA". It matches the Rfam family "Bacterial small subunit ribosomal RNA", at positions 28 to 507 of the family's 1533-position model. The record is from RNAcentral.